AGAGUUUGAUCAUGGCUCAGAUUGAACGCUGGCGGUAUGCUUAACACAUGCAAGUCGAACGGUAACAGUCCCUCACCUAGAAAUUUCUUAAAAAGAGAUUUGUAGGUGAGGGAGCUGACGAGUGGCGGACGGGUGCGUAAUGUAUAGGAAUCUUCCUGGUAGUGGGGGACAACUCGGAGAAAUUCGAGCUAAUACCGCAUAAGCCCUACGGGGGAAAACGGGGGAUCUUCGGACCUCGUGCUAUUAGAUGAGCCUAUAUUAGAUUAGCUUGUUGGUGAGGUAAUGGCUUACCAAGGCGACGAUCUAUAGCUGGUCUGAGAGGAUGAUCAGCCACACUGGGACUGAGACACGGCCCAGACUCCUACGGGAGGCAGCAGUAGGGAGUAUUGGACAAUGGGCGCAAGCCUGAUCCAGCAAUGCCGCGUGUGUGAAGAAGGCCUGCGGGUUGUAAAGCACUUUCAAUUGGGAAGAAAGAUUAUGAGUUAAUACCUUAUAAUAUUGACG
This 504-nucleotide ribosomal RNA is filed under the name uncultured bacterium. RNAcentral's name for it is "bacterial SSU rRNA". It matches the Rfam family "Bacterial small subunit ribosomal RNA", at positions 8 to 474 of the family's 1533-position model. The record is from RNAcentral.